This is a long non-coding RNA of Beta vulgaris subsp. vulgaris (sugar beet), 720 nucleotides long. RefSeq lists it as uncharacterized. The transcript is spliced from 2 exons. The record is from RefSeq and is a predicted model, not a curated record. NCBI's taxonomy places the organism in Eukaryota, Viridiplantae, Streptophyta, Magnoliopsida, Caryophyllales, Amaranthaceae.
GGUUUCAUUUGAUUGCAGUUGUUAUAUAUAUUGAGUUCAUCAGUGCAUGAAAACAAUACGAUGCACCUUAAAAAGAACUACGAAUACGAUGUAAGAGAAGCUGAUGCCUGCACUCGCAGGAGAGAUGGCACUGGCGACAGGUUGAUGUGCAUUGCAGUUUACGUAUGCCGCAACCUGCAACUAGUGUCAUUCUCCUGUGAGUGGAGACCUGUGUUUAUUGCUUCUUUAUCGCUUUCCUUCGUUUACUCAAGGAGUCAAGGUUGUGCAUAUCGUUUGAGGUUGUCAAACAGGUUCUGGGUAUACCCAUGGCGAACUAGGUCAUACCCGGAUAGGUCAGGAUUCUGAUUGUCAGUGUUCCAGGUCAUGAUUGGUCAGGUUUUGUUCAACUGGGUCGAACACAUUUGAAUCAUUGGAUUCCCGGGUGCCGAACAGGUCUGAGCGUUCCAUUUACGAACCGAUCCAAUCCUGGAUAUGAUCACCCGUUUAUAUGUUUUUUCCCGGUUUGCGUCGGUCGUAUUUAAGUUUCAUGUACGGUUGUGUUAAGUCAAAUAUACUCGGGUUGAAUUAGUAGUGACCUUAGUUCGAUCAUUGUGAAACAUCGGGUCCAUUCGCUAUUGAACGUCCAUUCAACUUCGGAUAACUCCUAAUCGCGCCAUCUUGAUUUUGUUAUGUAUUUUGUAAACGAAUCAUAUUAAUAAAAGUAAUAAUUUAAGAUCGACA